Molecule: ribosomal RNA, 981 nt
Filed under: uncultured bacterium
Lineage: Bacteria
Description: bacterial SSU rRNA
Rfam family: Bacterial small subunit ribosomal RNA
Source: RNAcentral
UUCCUACGGGAGGCAGCAGUGGGGAAUUCUUUGGGCGCAAGCCUGACGGACAAGCCGGGAAUUAGGCCUUCGGGUUGUAAACUGCUUUUGUUUUCGAAGAUUAUGACAGUAGAUUACGAAUAAGGACCUGCUAACUACGUGCCAGCAGCCGCGGUCAUACGUAGGGUCCAAGCGUUAUCCGGAUUGACUGGGCGUAAGAGAUGCGUAGGCGGUUAUUUAAGCAGAUAGUGAAAUCGGGUGGCUCAACCAUUCCGCUGCUAUCUGAACUGGGUAACUUGAGUAUGGAAGGGGUCGCUGGAAUUACUAGUGUAGGAGUGAAAUCCGUAGAUAUUAGUAGGAACACCGAUGGCGAAGGCAGGCGACUGGUCCAUUACUGACGCUAAGGCUCGAAAGCGUGGGGAGCGAACCGGAUUAGAUACCCGGGUAGUCCACGCCGUAAACGAUGGAUGCUAGCUAUUGGGGGGAAUCGACCCCCUCCGAAGCGAAGCUAACGCGUUAAGCAUCCCGCCUGAGUAGUACGAGCGCAAGCUUAAAACUCAAAGGAAUUGACGGGCCCACGCGGUGGAGCGUGUGGUUUAAUUCAUGGAAAAAACCUUACCAAGGUUUGACAUCCCGGUAGCCGUUCUCCGAAAGGAGAAUUUCAUUUAGUUGGACCGGUGACAGGUGAUGCAUGGCCGUCGUCAGCUCGUGUCGUGAGAUGUUGGGUUAAGUCCCGCAACGAGCGCAACCCUUAUGAUUUAGUUGGAUUUUUCUAAACAGACUGCCCUGGUAACAGGGAGGAAGGAGGGGAUGAUGUCAGGUCAGUAUUUCCCUUACACCUUGGGCGACACACGCGCUACAAUGGCCGGUACAAUGGGCAGCUAAGCCGCGAGGUGGAGCAAAUCCCAUCAAAGCCGGUCCCAGUUCGGAUUGCAGGAAACCCCCUAAGCCGGAAUCGUAGUAACCCGAGUCAGCAUUCGGGGAAUCGUUCCCGGGCCUUGU